RNAcentral lists this ribosomal RNA (460 nucleotides) under uncultured bacterium. RNAcentral's name for it is "partial 16S ribosomal RNA". It matches the Rfam family "Bacterial small subunit ribosomal RNA", at positions 338 to 795 of the family's 1533-position model. The record is from RNAcentral.
CCUACGGGUGGCAGCAGUGAGGAAUAUUGGUCAAUGGGCGCAAGCCUGAACCAGCCAUGCCGCGUGAAGGAAGAAGGCUCUAUGGGUUGUAAACAGCUUUUGUACGGGGGUAAACGUCGAUACGUGUAUCUUUCUGAAUGUACCGUACGAAUAAGGAUCGGCUAACUCCGUGCCAGCAGCCGCGGUAAUACGGAGGAUUCGAGCGUUAUCCGGAUUUAUUGGGUUUAAAGGGUGCGUAGGCGGUCGGUUAAGUCAGAGGUGAAAUCCCGGGGCUUAACUUGAGAAUUGCCUCUGAUACUGGUCGGCUAGAGAGUAGUAGAGGUAGGCAGAAUGCAUGGUGUAGCGGUGAAAUGCUUAGAGAUCAGGCAGAACACCGAUUGCGAAGGCAGCCUACCAGGCUACGACUGACGCUGAGGCACGAAAGCGUGGGGAGCAAACAGGAUUAGAUACCCGGGUAGUC